This 1000-nucleotide ribosomal RNA is filed under the name uncultured archaeon. Its description in RNAcentral is "bacterial SSU rRNA". It matches the Rfam family "Archaeal small subunit ribosomal RNA", at positions 352 to 1353 of the family's 1478-position model. The record is from RNAcentral.
GCAAUGCGUGAAAGCGUGACGAGGGGACCCCGGGUUCCCCAGUACAACUGGGGAUUUUGUAGAGCGUAAAAAGCUUUAAGAAUAAGUGCUGGGUAAGACCGGUGCCAGCCUCCGCGGUAACACCGGCAGCGCAAGUGGUGGUCACGUUUAUUGGGCUUAAAGCGUCCGUAGUCGGUUCAGCAAGUUCCCUGUGAAAUCCUGCCGCUUAACGGUAGGGCUUGCAGGGAAUACUGCCGAGCUAGGGACCGGAAGAGGUCAGGGGUAUUCCCGGGGUAGCGGUGAAAUGUUAUAAUCCCGGGAGGACCACCCGCGGCGAAGGCGCCUGACUAGUACGGGUCCGACGAUGAGGGACGAGAGCUGGGGGAGCAAAACGGAUUAGAUACCCGUGUAGUCCCAGCCGUAAACGAUGCGGACUGAGUAUUGCACAAAUCUCGUAUUUGUGCAGUGCUGAAGGGAAACCGUUAAGUCCGCCGUCUGGGGAGUACGGUCGCAAGGCUGAAACUUAAAGGAAUUGGCGGGGGAACACCACAAGGGGUGGAGUCUGCGGUCCAAUUGGAUACAACGCCGGGAAACUCACCAGGGGCGACGGCAGUAUGAAAGCCAAGCUGAAGGUUUUGCUUUGACGAGCCGAGAGGUAGUGCAUGGCCGUCGUCAGCUCGUACCGUGAGGCGUGCGGUUAAGUCCGUUAACGAGCAAGACCCGUGCCCUUAUUUGCGACCCUUUCCGAUGGGGAGGGGGCACUAUAAGGGGACCGGUGGCGAUGAGUCACAGGAAGGCGCGGGCGACGGUAGGUCUGUAUGCUCCGAAUCUCCUGGGCCACACGUGGACUACAAUGGCAUGAACAAUGAGUUGCAACGCCGAAAGGCGAAGCUAAUCCCCAAAUCAUGUCUUAGUUCGGAUCGAGGGCUGUAACUCAGCCCUCGUGAAGAUGAAAUCCCUAGUAAUCGCUGGUCACCAUCCAGCGGUGAAUAUGUCCCUGUUCCUUGCACACACCGCCCGU